Molecule: unclassified non-coding RNA, 247 nt
Filed under: Hevea brasiliensis (rubber tree)
Lineage: Eukaryota; Viridiplantae; Streptophyta; Magnoliopsida; Malpighiales; Euphorbiaceae
Source: RNAcentral
GUUAAAUGCCAAUUAUCAAAGCUGACAAGAAGGAAAAAAAAUGUAAAUCAUCAACACCUAGACAUAAAAGUGUUCAGCUCAAGAGUGAAAAGUAAUACUCCAGAAUAAUGGCCAUGAAGAGGCUCUUUGAGUUGGCAACGGGUGUAAGAGAAAGAACACAAUUCUGUCACUAGAUGAGAAAGAGGAAAAACAACUUCACUUGCUCUAGAUAUUUUCCGGGUUUAAGGACUAUCAUUUUUAAAUAAAA